GACAAACUGGGCAAUCGCUGAUGUUGGACAGGAUGCAUUCGAUGUGGAAUGAAUGUCCACAACCACGGAGAACGUUCCAAGUGGAUUAACCUUUUUGCAGGCAGGUGAAUUGCAUUUUCUAUGAUGGAAAUUUUAAAGUAAGAUUUAUAUUUUAUACAGAUCUUUAUAGUCAGUUUGUCCUUGGAAAUUGUUCCAAAAUAUGAGUGUGUAGCAAAGUUAAAAUAGUACUCAUAAUCUCCAGAACAUGUUUGAAUCACAGCAGUCCUGAGACAUCGGAACUGGCAGCUGUUCAUCUGAUCAAUGGCACCCCAUAUCUAUUUAGUGUACAAUACCAAUAAAUGUAAAUUACCACCUCCCCCAACCCAGGAGUUGGUAGUUUUUACUUUUCAGCACUGCAUAAUCAAAAUUGUUGGAUUGUAUGAAUAUCUGGUUUUGUCUCAGUGAUCCUGCUUCGCCCCAUGAACCCCACACUUCCUACAUUCGAGCAGGCAGGGACUUAUAUUGACUGGUACUUAGUUCAAUUGCAGCAAUUGGUCUGCCUGUGUGUUAUUUUUAAGUGUACAUCGAUUGCAAAUCCUACUUCCAAACUUGACUAGGUUCAGAAUUUGGACCUUGGAUGUGAUUGGCUAUUUGUAAAC
This is a non-coding RNA of Paramuricea clavata, 638 nucleotides long. Lineage: Eukaryota; Metazoa; Cnidaria; Anthozoa; Malacalcyonacea; Plexauridae. The record is from the annotation of a GenBank genome assembly.